GCAGUGGUGGUUCAGUGCUACAAUUUUCGCCUUCCAUGAAGGAGACCUGGGUUCAAUUCCCAGUCAGUGCA
RNAcentral lists this transfer RNA (71 nucleotides) under Loxodonta africana (African savanna elephant). It matches the Rfam family "tRNA". Rfam says of the family: Transfer RNA (tRNA) molecules are approximately 80 nucleotides in length. Their secondary structure includes four short double-helical elements and three loops (D, anti-codon, and T loops). Further hydrogen bonds mediate the characteristic L-shaped molecular structure. tRNAs have two regions of fundamental functional importance: the anti-codon, which is responsible for specific mRNA codon recognition, and the 3' end, to which the tRNAs corresponding amino acid is attached (by aminoacyl-tRNA synthetases). tRNAs cope with the degeneracy of the genetic code in two manners: having more than one tRNA (with a specific anti-codon) for a particular amino acid; and 'wobble' base-pairing, i.e. permitting non-standard base-pairing at the 3rd anti-codon position. Lineage: Eukaryota; Metazoa; Chordata; Mammalia; Proboscidea; Elephantidae. The record is from Rfam by way of RNAcentral.